Molecule: ribosomal RNA, 492 nt
Filed under: uncultured bacterium
Lineage: Bacteria
Description: partial 16S ribosomal RNA
Rfam family: Bacterial small subunit ribosomal RNA
Source: RNAcentral
AGUGAACGCUGGCGGUAGGCCUAACACAUGCAAGUCGAACGGCCGCACAGUAAGAGCUUGCUCUUACGGGUGGCGAGUGGCGGACGGGUGAGGAAUACAUCGGAAUCUACUUUUUCGUGGGGGAUAACGUAGGGAAACUUACGCUAAUACCGCAUACGACCUACGGGUGAAAGCAGGAGAUCUUCGGACCUUGCGCGAUUGAAUGAGCCGAUGUCGGAUUAGUUAGUUGGCGGGGUAAAGGCCCACCAAGGCGACGAUCCGUAGCUGGUCUGAGAGGAUGAUCAGCCACACUGGAACUGAGACACGGUCCAGACUCCGACGGGAGGCAGCAGUGGGGAAUAUUGGACAAUGGGCGCAAGCCUGAUCCAGCCAUACCGCGUGGGUGAAGAAGGCCUUCGGGUUGUAAAGCCCUUUUGUUGGGAAAGAAAAGCAGCAGGUUAAUACCCCGCUGUUCUGACGGUACCCAAAGAAUAAGCACCGGCUAACUUCGUG